UAAUAAGUGUUUUAUGGCACUUUUUAAAUCCAUAUCCACCUUGUGUGCAAUGUCGGUCGAUCUUCUUCCUGAGGAUCGACCAAACAUCAACCUUUAUUUUUAACUCUUUGUCUGAAAAUAUUAUGAAUAAACAAUUCAAAUA
RNAcentral lists this unclassified non-coding RNA (142 nucleotides) under soil metagenome. RNAcentral's name for it is "partial internal transcribed spacer 1". The record is from RNAcentral.